CAAUCCGUUGCACUAUCGUUAACUGAAUACAUAGGUUAACGAGGCGAACCGGGGGAACUGAAACAUCUAAGUACCCCGAGGAAAAGAAAUCAACCGAGAUUCCCCCAGUAGCGGCGAGCGAACGGGGAGCAGCCCGGAGUCUGAAUCAGCUUGUGUGUUAGUGGAACGGUCUGGAAAGUCCGACGGUACAGGGUGAUAGUCCCGUACACGAAAGCACACAUGCUGUGAACUCGAAGAGUAGGGCGGGACACGUGGUAUCCUGUCUGAAUAUGGGGGGACCAUCCUCCAAGGCUAAAUACUCCUGACUGACCGAUAGUGAACCAGUACCGUGAGGGAAAGGCGAAAAGAACCCCGGCGAGGGGAGUGAAAAAGAACCUGAAACCGUGUACGUACAAGCAGUGGGAGCCUCUUUAUGGGGUGACUGCGUACCUUUUGUAUAAUGGGUCAGCGACUUAUAUUCUGUAGCAAGGUUAACCGUAUAGGGGAGCCGAAGGGAAACCGAGUCUUAACUGGGCGUUAAGUUGCAGGGUAUAGACCCGAAACCCGGUGAUCUAGCCAUGGGCAGGUUGAAGGUUGGGUAACACUAACUGGAGGACCGAACCGACUAAUGUUGAAAAAUUAGCGGAUGACCUGUGGCUGGGGGUGAAAGGCCAAUCAAACCGGGAGAUAGCUGGUUCUCCCCGAAAGCUAUUUAGGUAGCGCCUCGUGAAUUCAUCUUCGGGGGUAGAGCACUGUUUCGGCUAGGGGGCCAUCCCGGCUUACCAACCCGAUGCAAACUACGAAUACCGAAGAAUGUUAUCACGGGAGACACACGGCGGGUGCUAACGUCCGUCGUGAAGAGGGAAACAACCCAGACCGCCAGCUAAGGUCCCAAAGUCAUGGUUAAGUGGGAAACGAUGUGGGAAGGCACAGACAGCCAGGAUGUUGGCUUAGAAGCAGCCAUCAUUUAAAGAAAGCGUAAUAGCUCACUGGUCGAGUCGGCCUGCGCGGAAGAUGUAACGGGGCUAAACCAUGCACCGAAGCUGCGGCAGCGACACUUAUGUGUUGUUGGGUAGGGGAGCGUUCUGUAAGCCGUUGAAGGUGUGCUGUGAGGCAUGCUGGAGGUAUCAGAAGUGCGAAUGCUGACAUAAGUAACGAUAAAGCGGGUGAAAAGCCCGCUCGCCGGAAGACCAAGGGUUCCUGUCCAACGUUAAUCGGGGCAGGGUGAGUCGACCCCUAAGGCGAGGCCGAAAGGCGUAGUCGAUGGGAAACAGGUUAAUAUUCCUGUACUUGGUGUUACUGCGAAGGGGGGACGGAGAAGGCUAUGUCAGCCGGGCGACGGUUGUCCCGGUUUAAGCAUGUAGGCGGAGGUUCCAGGUAAAUCCGGUACCUUAUUAACGCUGAGGUGUGAUGACGAGGCACUACGGUGCUGAAGUGAUAAAUGCCCUGCUUCCAGGAAAAGCCUCUAAGCAUCAGGUAACACGAAAUCGUACCCCAAACCGACACAGGUGGUCAGGUAGAGAAUACCAAGGCGCUUGAGAGAACUCGGGUGAAGGAACUAGGCAAAAUGGUGCCGUAACUUCGGGAGAAGGCACGCUGAUGUGUAGGUGAAGCCCCUGCGGGUGGAGCUGAAAUCAGUCGAAGAUACCAGCUGGCUGCAACUGUUUAUUAAAAACACAGCACUGUGCAAACACGAAAGUGGACGUAUACGGUGUGACGCCUGCCCGGUGCCGGAAGGUUAAUUGAUGGGGUUAGCGGCAACGCGAAGCUCUUGAUCGAAGCCCCGGUAAACGGCGGCCGUAACUAUAACGGUCCUAAGGUAGCGAAAUUCCUUGUCGGGUAAGUUCCGACCUGCACGAAUGGCGUAAUGAUGGCCAGGCUGUCUCCACCCGAGACUCAGUGAAAUUGAACUCGCUGUGAAGAUGCAGUGUACCCGCGGCAAGACGGAAAGACCCCGUGAACCUUUACUAUAGCUUGACACUGAACACUGGUCCUUGAUGUGUAGGAUAGGUGGGAGGCUUUGAAGCGUGGACGCCAGUCUGCGUGGAGCCGACCUUGAAAUACCACCCUUUAAUGGCUGGUGUUCUAACGUAGACCCGUAAUCCGGGUUGCGGACAGUGUCUGGUGGGUAGUUUGACUGGGGCGGUCUCCUCCCAAAGAGUAACGGAGGAGCACGAAGGUUGGCUAAUCCUGGUCGGACAUCAGGAGGUUAGUGCAAUGGCAUAAGCCAGCUUGACUGCGAGCGUGACGGCGCGAGCAGGUGCGAAAGCAGGUCAUAGUGAUCCGGUGGUUCUGAAUGGAAGGGCCAUCGCUCAACGGAUAAAAGGUACUCCGGGGAUAACAGGCUGAUACCGCCCAAGAGUUCAUAUCGACGGCGGUGUUUGGCACCUCGAUGUCGGCUCAUCACAUCCUGGGGCUGAAGUAGGUCCCAAGGGUAUGGCUGUUCGCCAUUUAAAGUGGUACGCGAGCUGGGUUUAGAACGUCGUGAGACAGUUCGGUCCCUAUCUGCCGUGGGCGCUGGAGAAUUGAGGGGGGCUGCUCCUAGUACGAGAGGACCGGAGUGGACGCAUCACUGGUGUUCGGGUUGUCAUGCCAAUGGCACUGCCCGGUAGCUAAAUGCGGAAGAGAUAAGUGCUGAAAGCAUCUAAGCACGAAACUUGCCCCGAGAUGAGUUCUCCCUGAGACUUUAAGUCUCCUGAAGGAACGUUGAAGACGACGACGUUGAUAGGUCGGGUGUGUAAGCGCAGCGAUGCGUUGAGCUAACCGAUACUAAUGAACCGUGAGGCUUAACCUUACAACGCCGAAGGUGUUU
This 2791-nucleotide ribosomal RNA is filed under the name Enterobacter hormaechei subsp. steigerwaltii. RNAcentral's name for it is "bacterial LSU rRNA". It matches the Rfam family "Bacterial large subunit ribosomal RNA". Lineage: Bacteria; Pseudomonadati; Pseudomonadota; Gammaproteobacteria; Enterobacterales; Enterobacteriaceae. The record is from RNAcentral.